AGUGAACGCUGGCGGUAGGCCUAACACAUGCAAGUCGAACGGCAGCACAGUAAAAGCUUGCUCUUACGGGUGGCGAGUGGCGGACGGGUGAGGAAUACAUCGGAAUCUACUUUUUCGUGGGGAUAACGUAGGGAAACUUACGCUAAUACCGCAUACGACCUACGGGUGAAAGCAGGGGAUCUUCGGACCUUGCGCGAUUGAAUGAGCCGAUGUCGGAUUAGCUAGCUGGCGGGGUAAAGGCCCACCAAGGCGACGAUCCGUAGCUGGUCUGAGAGGAUGAUCAGCCACACUGGAACUGAGACACGGUCCAGACUCCUACGGGAGGCAGCAGUGGGGAAUAUUGGACAAUGGGCGCAAGCCUGAUCCAGCCAUACCGCGUGGGUGAAGAAGGCCUUCGGGUUGUAAAGCCCUUUUGUUGGGAAAGAAAAGCAGCAGGUUAAUACCCCGCUGUUCUGACGGUACCCAAAGAAUAAGCACCGGCUAACUUCGUG
Molecule: ribosomal RNA, 491 nt
Filed under: uncultured bacterium
Lineage: Bacteria
Description: partial 16S ribosomal RNA
Rfam family: Bacterial small subunit ribosomal RNA
Source: RNAcentral